This 436-nucleotide ribosomal RNA is filed under the name uncultured bacterium. RNAcentral describes it as "partial 16S ribosomal RNA". It matches the Rfam family "Bacterial small subunit ribosomal RNA", at positions 29 to 507 of the family's 1533-position model. The record is from RNAcentral.
AGCGAACGCUGGCGGCAGGCUUAACACAUGCAAGUCGAGCGGGCAUCCUUGUGGUGUCAGCGGCAGACGGGUGAGUAACGCGUGGGAACGUGCCCUUCGGUUCGUAAUAACUCAGGGAAACUUGAGCUAAUACCGGAUACGCCCUUUUGGGGAAAGGUUUACUGCCGAAGGAUCGGCCCGCGUCUGAUUAGCUAGUUGGUGAGGUUAUGGCUCACCAAGGCGACGAUCAGUAGCUGGUCUGAGAGGAUGAUCAGCCACACUGGGACUGAGACACGGCCCAGACUCCUACGGGAGGCAGCAGUGGGGAAUAUUGGACAAUGGGGGCAACCCUGAUCCAGCCAUGCCGCGUGAGUGAUGACGGCCUUAGGGUUGUAAAGCUCUUUUCUCCGGGACGAUAAUGACGGUACCGGAGGAAUAAGCCCCGGCUAACUUCGUG